UGAAUACGAGAUGCUACGGCAUCGAAGCAGUCUAUGUCAUACUUCCAAGAAAAGCUUGCACUGUCAUAAACAAAUAAUGCCUGUACCAUAACCGACACAGGUGGGUAGGUAGAGUAUACUAAGGGGCGCGAGAUAACUCUCUCUAAGGAACUCGGCAAAAUGACUCCGUAACUUCGGGAGAAGGAGUGCCUUAUUUAUAAGGUUGCAAUAACAAGAUCCAAGCAACUGUUUACCAAAAACACAGGUCUCCGCUAAGUCGUAAGACGAUGUAUGGGGGCUGACGCCUGCCCAGUGCCAGAAGGUUAAAGAAGUUGGUUUGCAUCAGCGAAGCUGAUAACUGAAGCCCUGGUGAACGGCGGCCGUAACGAUAACGGUCCUAAGGUAGCGAAAUUCCUUGUCGGGUAAGUUCCGACCCGCACGAAAGGCGUAAUGAUUUGGAUACUGUCUCGGAGAGGGGCUCGGUGAAAUAGACUUGUCUGUGAAGAUGCGGACUACCUGCACCAGGACAGAAAGACCCUAUGAAGCUUUACUGUAACUUGAGAUUGAAAUUGGACUUUAUUUGCGCAGUAUAGGUGGGAGACGUUGAAAAUAUUCUUGCGGGAAUAUUGGAGUCAUCAGUGAGAUACCACUCUUAUAAUGUUAGAUUUCUAACUUUGUAUCAUUAUCUGGUCAAAGAACAGUCUCAGGCGGGCAGUUUGACUGGGGCGGUCGCCUCCCAAACGGUAACGGAGGCGCACAAAGGUUUCCUCUGAACGUGUAGAAAUCGUAUCUAGAGUGUAAAGGCAUAAGGAAGCUUGACUGUGAGACCUACAAGUCGAGCAGGGACGAAAGUCGGUCUUAGUGAUCUGACGGUGCUGAGUGGAAAGGCCGUCACUCAACGGAUAAAAGUUACUCUAGGAUAACAGGCUGAUCUCCCCCAAGAGUUCACAUCGACGGGGAGGUUUGGCACCUCGAUGUCGGCUCAUCGCAUCCUGGGGCGGUAGUACGUCCCAAGGGUUGGGCUGUUCGCCCAUGAAAGCGGUACGCGAGCUGGGUUCAGAACGUCGUGAGACAGUUCGGUCCAUAUCCGGUGUAGGCGUUAGAAUAUUGAGAGGAGCCUUCUUUAGUACGAGAGGACCGAGAAGGACAUACCUCUGGUGUACCAGUUAUCGUGCCAACGGUAAACGCUGGGUAGCUAUGUAUGGAGAGGAUAACCGCUGAAAGCAUCUAAGUGGGAAGCCCACCUCAAGAUAAG
Molecule: ribosomal RNA, 1234 nt
Filed under: metagenome
Description: bacterial LSU rRNA
Rfam family: Bacterial large subunit ribosomal RNA
Source: RNAcentral